GGCUCCGGGGUCAAGCGGUUCAGACAUCGCCCUUUCACGGCGGUAACACGGGUUCAAUUCCCGUCGGAGUCA
RNAcentral lists this transfer RNA (72 nucleotides) under Lachnospiraceae bacterium. RNAcentral's name for it is "tRNA-Glu". It matches the Rfam family "tRNA". From Rfam's summary of the family: Transfer RNA (tRNA) molecules are approximately 80 nucleotides in length. Lineage: Bacteria; Bacillati; Bacillota; Clostridia; Lachnospirales; Lachnospiraceae. The record is from RNAcentral.